UAGGGAAUCUUCCGCAAUGGGCGAAAGCCUGACGGAGCAACGCCGCGUGAGUGAUGAAGGUCUUCGGAUCGUAAAACUCUGUUAUUAGGGAAGAACAAAUGUGUAAGUAACUAUGCACAUCUUGACGGUACCUAAUCAGAAAGCCACGGCUACCUACGUGCCAGCAGCCGCGGUAAUACGUAGGUGGCAAGCGUUAUCCGGAAUUAUUGGGCGUAAAGCGCGCGUAGGCGGUUUUUUAAGUCUGAUGUGAAAGCCCACGGCUCAACCGUGGAGGGUCAUUGGAAACUGGAAAACUUGAUUGCAGAAGAGGAAAGUGGAAUUCGAGGUGUAGCGGUGAAAUGCGCAGAGAUAUGGAGGAACACCAGUGGCGAAGGCGACUUUCUGGUCUGUAACUGACGCUGAUGUGCGAAAGCGUGGGGAUCAAACAGG
RNAcentral lists this ribosomal RNA (429 nucleotides) under Bacteroidota bacterium. Its description in RNAcentral is "Bacteroidetes bacterium partial 16S ribosomal RNA". It matches the Rfam family "Bacterial small subunit ribosomal RNA", at positions 355 to 776 of the family's 1533-position model. Lineage: Bacteria; Pseudomonadati; Bacteroidota. The record is from RNAcentral.